UCUCUGAUAGUAUAUCGGUUAGUACACGCGCCUGUCAUAAUGUAAACGCGCGAAAGCUGGGUUCGACUCCCAGUCAGAGAG
Molecule: non-coding RNA, 81 nt
Organism: Armillaria novae-zelandiae
Lineage: Eukaryota; Fungi; Basidiomycota; Agaricomycetes; Agaricales; Physalacriaceae
Source: the annotation of a GenBank genome assembly